Molecule: long non-coding RNA, 4706 nt
Filed under: Olea europaea subsp. europaea
Lineage: Eukaryota; Viridiplantae; Streptophyta; Magnoliopsida; Lamiales; Oleaceae
Source: RNAcentral
CUUCAAGACAGCUGAAACAUGCAACUUGAUGCCAAUUUUUAGAUACAUUGUGUAGCGAAUUUGAACUUAUUAUCAACAGAUAAAUUAUUACCACUUGAGUUAUCUUUCCAUUGGUUCAAAUAUCAGGUUCAUUGGAUCUAUAUAACUCCAGAUAUGACAAAAACAAUAAGUGCUGCUUCACAGGUAAAGCUGUAUCCGGCAGGUAACAAGCUAGAAUUUUCACGGUAAUUUUGGCUGCCUUAUGAUACGAAUUCGACUUCUUGCAAAACAUGAAAGUUGUAGAAACAUGCCUUAUAUUUCCAACCCAACUUGAAUCACCUCAAUCCAAUGUCUGCAGCUCAAGCUAUGAUUAUUUUACCGACAGCUGCUUCUUGCUUGAGACAGUCACUAUUUUUGACUUUUCAACAUUAUUUUCCUCCACUUGCUCCACUUGUUCUAAAUUAGAAAUACAUGUGAAAUACAUCAAAUAGAUACUCUUUCAAAUGUAUAAUACUCAUGCCAACAUGUAUGUAAAUACGUAUUUCAAUUAAUUGCAUUUUUAACCAUGUAUUUAUGGAAAUUGAAUUUACGGCAAGAGAAUUGAAAUUAGAGACUAACAUUAGUGAAUUUAAACAAAUUGAAUGUAAAAUGUCUUGUAAAUUUUAUAUCUUUGAAGCACUUUUAGACAAUAAUCAAAGUGCUUCAAAGGAAUGCUUCUAUAGCUACUCCUUUAAUGGACUUUGUUCUUGAAAAAAGAGCUGCAAAGAGUGGAACUUGGAUAGGAAAAUCUUACCAUUUGUUCACUAGUAUUUUAUAUUUCCCCUUUUUAAGGAAAUAUAUAGUUUUAUCUAAGCUGCUAAUUGGUAACGAACUUCCUGCAUGUAGCAUAAUUAGUAGCGGAUAUUCUCUCAGAAUGUUCACAUUAUCUUGAUAGCUUCGAGAUUUUUAUGUUUAAAUUUUUCUUUUUAACAUAAACAGGUUGACAAGAUGAAAGUUUUUUUAGAAUCGCUUUUCAGCUCCACUUCUAAAGUUGAGAAGCGCAUCUCAAAUAAUAGGUAUUAAAUUCCAUAUAAAAAAGAUUAUGCAAGUCAACCCCCUUUCGUUAAUUUUAGUCCAAGAAUAAGAUGCUUAUAAUGAUUUGAUCUUUAUUUUUAUCUACUUGCAUUCACUUUUUUAAGACCUUUCAAUCUCUUAUAUUCAUUCACUUCUUUGGAAGGCAUUUGCCAUUUGAAGUUUUAUGUGACUUCAACCUUCAAUGCAUGCUCAUUGGCAGUGUUACUUAUUGAGAAUGGUAAUUCUUAUUAUGCGUUUUAUUUAAUCUAUUUCCUUAAAUUUUUUUACAGCUUAGAAAGAAGAACUGUUAAAGUUUCGAGUAAGCAAAGCAAGCGAAGUUAGAGAAAUAGAAAAGAUAUUUUCCCACAUACUUUAUUACUUUUGACUAAGUAUGCGGAUGUGUUCAGAAAAUGAGAACAAAGUAUACGUCUUUGAUUUUAGAUUCUAAGAUACACAUGUAAAGACCAUUCUUUGGUGUUUAUUAUGAGUGAACCGAUAUACAGCAGAAUUUAACGUCUUUUACUUACCUCCUAUUUUGCUAAUAUUAAAGGGAAAAAAUGAUGCAUUAAGAAGUAUAAAAUGCACUAUCAUAGUGGAAUCAUAUUAGUUUCAAUGAUCCAACCAUAUAAAAAUAAUUUGCUCUUCUGAGUUUUUUAAAAAUGGAUGACUUGUUUACAAUUUAGUUAUUUCAAUAGAAAGUUUUCCUGUCCAAAAUGAUUGCAUUUGAUAAUUUUUGUUCGAUUAAAUCUAUGAACAAGUGGGCAAGCAUUUUUCUAUAAAUGCUGAAGCACAAUCAUUAGCCUUUUAACCACUGGAUUGAAGCUGUGAGUUACUAUUUUCUUCAUAUCCUUUGUUGUGAACUGUAUUUAAUUAUAAGUUACCAGUUAUUAUCUAAUAGUAGUAUCAUUUGAGUUGAUAUAGAUUCUUAUGCACAUUAUGUAUGUUCAUCCAAGCUACCAUUUUAGACACAGCUUACGUUUCUGUUAUGACAAGUGGUGUAAAAGUAAUACCUGUGAACACUUUUUCCAAUGGCAAUAAAGAUCUGAAAUUAGUUGUUGUUUUGGAACUUUGAUUUAUAGUGGAAGUAUCAUAGUUUAUCCAAGUUGGUUAACAAAUCUUACACAUGGCAAACAAAUCAAUGUUCAGCAAUAGUCAAGAUCAAAGCUUUGUGAACAGAUUAUGAAGUAUUCAUGUUUAUCUAUCAACUUAUCAUUUCUCAAAGCAAAGUGGUGGUUCUAUUUUUUUAUUUUUUAUUUUUUGGUAAUUAUUGCUUUUUUUACUAUUACCUAGGUGAUUAUAGCUUCAUAGUAUUGGAUUGUUCUAUCUAAUAUUUUCCUAGACAAAUGAAAACUUAAUUUAUCUUUACUUAAACUUUUAACAGUUGAAGGUAGCUAUUUAGUGCUACAAUUGAACAGUUGGAUUAAUAAAUAUCUGUUGUAUGCUUCAUUGUCUUAAUUUCUAUUGCUUAUUCAGCUAACAUUAAUCAGUAUUUGUAUGUCAUAUUUCUGGUUGUCGAGCCUGCAGGAAUGCUGAUUUUUGUCUUCAUACUUCCUUAUGUGUUUAGUUGAAUUUAAUUAGUUCAAACCAGAUUUAUCAUUUAUUCAUUAGGAUAUUUGAUAAUAUUUUUCAUGCUUUAAGGAAAUUAUUUCAAGUACCUUAUGGAGUUCUCUAUUGACCAUGAUUUGUAUGCCAUUAUAAACAAUCUCCUGGACUUUCUUCUCAAUGGAAUAAUGGGUUCAGGCUAGCAACCUUCUUGAAGUUUGUACUCGAAGAGAUAGGUCUCCUUUACCGAGCAGUGCAGAAAAAUUCUAGGUCUCUUGUAGCGCUACUGUUUAGAUUCGCCCCUGAGAGUAUCAGAUGAACUAAAAUCAAAAAAUGAAUCCAUGGUUGAAUAUGAUAGAAUUUUUAAUUGAAAUUUGAUGAUGUAGGGCUGAAAAACGUUGCUGCUGGUGGGGAUGCAUCUAACAAUAUAUUGGAUACACUAACAGAUGAUCCUAAAACGGUAAUAUAGUUUUUCUUUCCAUCACUUUCAAUGUUUGUAGGGAACCAUUGAAAUUUGUUCUUUCACACAUGCGUUUUCUUAGAAACCCUUCAUUAUCUUACUAGGCUUAUGUUUGCUUACCCUUCAAAUUUGGGAAUUGUGUAAAUUUUGGGAAUGGAUUUGUGGAGGUGAAAUGUAAUUGUUAACUAAAAAGUAAUGAAAUGCUUUGUUAGAGAUAAAAGCUUUGGAUACAUCAUUUUUCUCUAUCCUUUGCAUCCCUCUAAAUUUAUCUUAGCUUAAAAGGAAAAAUGUGUUCAAAACAAGUUUUAGCUGCCACUCAGAUACUGGGAAAUGCAAGUAAGAAGUAAUUACAAGAAACAAAAGAUGCUAUGAGGCAAUUUAUAUGAGUGUUUUAGGUGCAUUUUUUGGAAGCUAAAUUGUCAUAAAAAAAACUCAAUGAUCAAAGUUUUAAAGGACUAAUGAUGAUUCUAAAUAUAUAUGUAGGAUGCUAAAAAAUGAAAAUGCCGAGCACAUUCUUAUCUUGUUUGUUUAUCAUUUUUAUUGAAUUGAUAAUAUGGACUUUGUUCAGGUACUUGACAGAUUAUUUUAGAGCUGGUCGUCUUUCAUAUGGAGCCAUUGAAGAGCACGUCUGCAGAACGAAGACUUGUCUUUGAUCUUUCUCGAGUUGAAAUCCGCCUAGCCAAAGGUGGUACUGAGAUGGUGAAAGGUGAGCCUCCUACUAGAAAGUUCGACAAGCUUUUUGACUCUAACUAAAGAACCAAUCCAACACACACCGAUAUCCCAAACUAAGGAGCGAUCGAGGGAGAGAAAGAAAGAAAAUGCACACACUCCUUAUUCGCCCUUCACUAAACUCGACCACCAAAUCGUCUAAAUGGAAUGCAUUUAUUAGGAAAGUGUGUUCAGUCAAAAAAAGAGCUCAGCAAAGUCCCCAUGCUAUAUGCGGCGACAAUGCAAUCUAAACCUACUUAUCAUCUUAAGCCACGUCGAGAGAAGAAACCUAAAGCAGAACAAAAUGAUUGAGAGGCUUACGUAGACCUUUGCAUAACUCGAUGCAUAUCAUGAAUAGAUUUAUGUUAACAAAAAUUGUUUAGAUUUCAUCAUUCCAUCUUUGUCCUUUACUUUGGAGAAUGCAAAAGAAAAACUACAAAAAAAUAACUUCACUUUCACCUUUUCAAUCUCCCCAGACAAUACUUGAAGAACUAGGCACAUGAUAUGCUAAUAGAUCUCUCUUAUUUUUUGUAAGUUGUCCAUAAAUAUUCCAGUAGGUCUUGCCAUAUGCAUUUUUGAGAAACUAGAUGAACCUAAAAUUCCCACCACAUCAUGCAUUUUGUAGCAUUACCCAUCAGCUUGCUUUUGUAGUGUUAGAGUUACUAUUCUAUAUGCUUAUAGAGCCACACUGUUUCUUUAGCAACAAAUCUCUAUGGACGAAUAGUUUAUUACAUAAUUAUUUCUCCUUUCAAAAACCUUCUAUUGCAUAAGAUAAAACACACUUUUUCUUAAUCUUAACGACUCCAUAUUCGUUACAUAAUUUACAGUCUUCCACCACAUUAACCAGUUAUUUUUUAUUGGAUAUUCUGCUAACUAAAUUUAAUUGUUGUUCUUGUAGAUUUUCCCAAAGCCAGCAUUAAUUUGACUAUAUGUUAGCCGAAACUUUUACAAAGUUAAAAAAAAC